CACAGGGGCAAGUAACUCUAAUUGACAGGAAGUUGAAAUCCAUCAUCAAGCGCGCACUUGUAAUCUCUAAAGAUGUCGUUGUUUUCCAAUCCUACACAAGCAUUUGGUACUAACCCCGCUACAACUGCUGCCACGGGGUUUUCAUUUGGUGGUGGUGCGGCGACGACAACGGCGCCAGCAUUUGGUGGAUUCGGCGGCACCGCUACAACAUCAGCACCAACAGGCUUUUCAGGUUUCGGGACGGGAACCCAGGCGACGGUGGGGCAAGGCACAGGUUUUUUCGGGGGUGCUCCCACGGCAACGACUACAGCAACAGCACCAGGUUUCAGUGGCUUCGGGACUAACCCUGGCACAUCCACUACAGGUUUCUCAGGAUUUGGAGGAGCAGUGCCACCAACAACUACUGCCUCAGGAUUUGGUGGAUUUGGUACCACAUCAGGCUUUGGUGCUGGAACGGGAACCACAACUGGCUUUGGUGCUGGAACGGGAACCACAACUGGCUUUGGUGCUGGAACGGGAACCACAACUGGCUUUGGAGCACCGACAGGAGCCACGGGAACUUCAACAGGAUUUGGGGGAUUUGGCACUACAGGAUUUGGUGGUGCAGCAACAGGACAAACUGGCUUCGGAGGGGGAUUGUUUGCAGGAGGCCAGCAACCUCAGCAGCAGCAGGGUGCCUCUGACCUCACCAAUAUGGCCAUGGCUGUGUCGCUGCCGCAGAUCUAUGGUGACGAGAAAGAUGCCAUGAUAGCCAAGUGGAACCAGCUCCAGGCAUGCUGGGGAACUGGGAAGGGCUUCUACAGUCCGAAUGGCGUGGUGGAGUUUAAGGCAGAUAACCCCUUCUGCAGAUUCAAGGCGAUUGGGUACCAUGUGAUACCAAGUGGGAGGAACGAGGAUGGGUUGGUGGCGCUCAUGUUGAAGAAGAAGCAGACCGAUGUGGCUGCAGCGCAACAGCAAAUCGUUGACACACUACACAAGAUGUUCGGCAGUAAACCCACUCUCUCUGUCUGUGUGGAGGGCAUCCGACCACUCCCAGAGGACAGGACAGAGUUGGUGAUCUAUGUGCUGGAGCGUCCACAGACAGGGCCUGCUAGACGGGUUGGAGCGUCGGAUCUGUUUACAUUCAUGAACCAGGCAGGCACUAAGAACACACUGGUCACCCAGCUGACUGUGGAAAACAUUGUGCCAAAGAUGGGCUGGUCCAGUGAACAGCUGAAGGAGUACCUAGAUAAACCCCCAGCUGGUAUCGACCCUGUGCUGUGGCAGCAGGCCAAACCACUCACUCACUCACACACUCACUCACUCACUCACUUGUCUGCCUCCUCAGGUAUCGACCCUGUGCUGUGGCAGCAGGCCAAACCACCGACUCACUCACUCACACACUCACUCACUCACUCACUCACUCACUUGUCUGCUUCCUCCAGGUAUCGACCCUGUGCUGUGGCAGCAGGCCAAACCACUCACUCACUCACACACUCACUCACUCACUCACUUGUCUGCCUCCUCAGGUAUCGACCCUGUGCUGUGGCAGCAGGCCAAACCACUCACUCACUCACACACUCACUCACUCACUCACUCACUUGUCUGCCUCCUCCAGGUAUCGACCCUGUGCUGUGGCAGCAGGCCAAACCACUCACUCACUCACUCACUCACUCACUCACUCACUCACUUGUCUGCCUCCUCAGGUAUCGACCCUGUGCUGUGGCAGCAGGCCAAACUACUCACUCCCUCACUCACUCACUCUGCCUCCUCCAGGUAUCGACCCUGUGCUGUGGCAGCAGGCCAAACCACUCACUCACUCACACACUCACUCACUCACUCACUCACUCACUCACUUGUCUGCCUCCUCCAGGUAUCGACCCUGUGCUGUGGCAGCAGGCCAAACCACUCACUCACUCACUCUGCCUCCAGGUAUCGACCCUGUGCUGUGGCAGCAGGCCAAACCACUCACUCACACACUCACUCACUCACUCACUUGUCUGCCUCCUCCAGGUAUCGACCCUGUGCUGUGGCAGCAGGCCAAACCACUCACUCACUCACACACUCACUCACUCACUCACUCACUCACUCACUCACUCUGCCUCCUCCAGGUAUCGACCCUGUGCUGUGGCAGCAGGCCAAACUACUCACUCCCUCACUCACUCACUCUGCCUCCUCCAGGUAUCGACCCUGUGCUGUGGCAGCAGGCCAAACCACUCACUCACUCACACACUCACUCACUCACUCACUCACUCACUCACUCACUCACUUGUCUGCCUCCUCCAGGUAUCGACCCUGUGCUGUGGCAGCAGGCCAAACCACUCACUCACUCACUCACACUUCUGCCUCCUCCAGGUAUCGACCCUGUGCUGUGGCAGCAGGCCAAACCACUCACUCACUCACUCUGCCUCCAGGUAUCGACCCUGUGCUGUGGCAGCAGGCCAAACCACUCACUCACACACUCACUCACUCACUCACUUGUCUGCCUCCUCCAGGUAUCGACCCUGUGCUGUGGCAGCAGGCCAAACCACUCACUCACUCACACACUCACUCACUCACUCACUCACUCACUCACUCACUCUGCCUCCUCCAGGUAUCGACCCUGUGCUGUGGCAGCAGGCCAAACCACUCACUCACUCACUCACUCACUCUGCCUCCAGGUAUCGACCCUGUGCUGUGGCAGCAGGCCAAACUACUCACUCACUCACUCCUCUGCCUCCUCCAGGUAUCGACCCUGUGCUGUGGCAGCAGGCCAAACUACUCACUCACUCACUCACUCUUCUGCCUCCUCCAGGUAUCGACCCUGUGCUGUGGCAGCAGGCCAAAUAUCGACCCUGUGCUGUGGCAGCAGGCCAAACUACUCACUCACUCACUCUUCUGCCUCCUCCAGGUAUCGACCCUGUGCUGUGGCAGCAGGCCAAACUACUCACUCACUCACUCUUCUGCCUCCUCCAGGUAUCGACCCUGUGCUGUGGCAGCAGGCCAAGCUGGACAACCCAGAUCCCACCAGACUGAUCCCAGUCCCAAUGAUCGGCUUCAAGGAGGUUCAGCGGCGACUACAGCACCAGCAGGAACAGACACGACUACAUCAACAACGUCUCGAUGUGAUGUCUGGUGAUCUGACGGACCUGCAGAACAAGCACAGCAACAUGCUAGCUAGACAGGAGGAGUACAAGAGGAAGCACCUGGAGCUGGGCCACCGACUGUUGCAG
This 3191-nucleotide unclassified non-coding RNA is filed under the name Haliotis rufescens (red abalone). RNAcentral's name for it is "nucleoporin p54-like, transcript variant X3". Lineage: Eukaryota; Metazoa; Mollusca; Gastropoda; Lepetellida; Haliotidae. The record is from RNAcentral.